Spodoptera litura is the source of this 383-nucleotide long non-coding RNA. RefSeq lists it as uncharacterized. The record is from RefSeq and is a predicted model, not a curated record. Lineage: Eukaryota; Metazoa; Arthropoda; Insecta; Lepidoptera; Noctuidae.
AGAUUUUUAAUUGUUACAGCAACCUUGACAAUGUAAUUAUAAAUAGGCGACUAUCUGACCAGAAACGCAUCGUUCUUCAGGAUUUGAACAAAACUCAACAUGAAAUUCUUGGCCCUAUUCGCUUUGCUGUGCGCCGUCCUUGCACUGGUCAGUGGACUUCCAGUCUCGGAGCCCGAACAUGAUAGCACACAUCCCUUGGUCAGAGAAGCUCGAAGCCACAAGGGCAAACAAAGCCAUGGGCAUGGAGGGUACGGCUAUAAGGGUUAAAUAAUCCAUUAUGAAUAGAAUGACGUAAUGGUUUUUUUGUAUUAUACAUUUAAGUUGUUUCAGAAGUAAUACUAAUACACUAUGUAUUCAAAAAUAAAGUUAUAUUUUUACGAGUU